This 439-nucleotide ribosomal RNA is filed under the name uncultured bacterium. Its description in RNAcentral is "partial 16S ribosomal RNA". It matches the Rfam family "Bacterial small subunit ribosomal RNA", at positions 338 to 795 of the family's 1533-position model. The record is from RNAcentral.
CCUACGGGAGGCAGCAGUGGGGGAUAUUGCACAAUGGAGGCAACUCUGAUGCAGCGACGCCGCGUGAGGGAAGACGGUCUUCGGAUUGUAAACCUCUGUUUUUGGGGAAGAAAAUGACGGUACCCAAAGAGUAAGCUCUGUCUAACUACGUGCCAGCAGCCGCGGUAAUACGUAGGGAGCGAGCGUUGUCCGGAUUUACUGGGUGUAAAGGGAGCGUAGGUGGGCGGGAAAGUUGAAUGUUAAAUGUACCGGCUUAACUGGAAGCUGCGUUGGAAACUUCUUGUCUUGAGUGUAGUAGAGGCAGGCGGAAUUCCUGGUGUAGCGGUGAAAUGCGUAGAUAUUAGGAGGAACACCGGUGGCGAAGGCGGCCUGCUGGGCUUUAACUGACGCUGAGGCUCGAAAGCGUGGGGAGCAAACAGGAUUAGAUACCCGAGUAGUC